This 433-nucleotide ribosomal RNA is filed under the name uncultured bacterium. RNAcentral describes it as "partial 16S ribosomal RNA". It matches the Rfam family "Bacterial small subunit ribosomal RNA", at positions 29 to 507 of the family's 1533-position model. The record is from RNAcentral.
AACGAACGCUGGCGGCAUGCCUAACACAUGCAAGUCGAACGAGACCUUCGGGUCUAGUGGCGCACGGGUGCGUAACGCGUGGGAACCUGCCCUUAGGUUCGGAAUAACUCCCCGAAAGGGGUGCUAAUACCGGAUAAUGUCUUCGGACCAAAGAUUUAUCGCCUUUGGAUGGGCCCGCGUUGGAUUAGCUAGUUGGUAGGGUAAAAGCCUACCAAGGCGACGAUCCAUAGCUGGUCUGAGAGGAUGAUCAGCCACACUGGGACUGAGACACGGCCCAGACUCCUACGGGAGGCAGCAGUGGGGAAUAUUGGACAAUGGGCGAAAGCCUGAUGCAGCAAUGCCGCGUGAGUGAUGAAGGCCGUAGGGUUGUAAAGCUCUUUUACCCGGGAUGAUAAUGACAGUACCGGGAGAAUAAGCUCCGGCUAACUCCGUG